GAUGAAAAAGAAAAAGGGAAGAAUAAUCAACAUAGCAUCAGUUGUUGGCCAAGUUGGAAAUAUUGGGCAAGCGAACUACAGUGCUGCAAAGGCAGGGGUGAUUGGUUUUACAAAGUCCGUUGCCAAGGAAUAUGCAAGCAGAAACAUCAACGUCAAUGCUGUUGCUCCUGGGUUUAUUGCGUCCGACAUGACUGCCAAGCUGGGGCCAGAGAUUGAGAAGAAAAUUCUGAGCACUAUCCCCUUGGCAAGAUAUGGCCAACCUGAGGAAGUUGCUGGACUUGUUGAAUUCUUAGCACUUAACCCUGCUGCUAGUUACAUUACAGGACAGGUUCUUACCAUCGAUGGUG
RNAcentral lists this unclassified non-coding RNA (347 nucleotides) under Hevea brasiliensis (rubber tree). Lineage: Eukaryota; Viridiplantae; Streptophyta; Magnoliopsida; Malpighiales; Euphorbiaceae. The record is from RNAcentral.